GUAAGCUACUAAGAGCGAAUGGUGGAUGCCUUGACUGGUAAAGGCGAUGAAGGACGUACUAGACUGCGAUAAGCUACGGGGAGCUGUCAAGAAGCUUUGAUCCGUAGAUUUCCGAAUGGGGCAACCCAAUGUAUAGAGAUAUACAUUACCUAUAUAGGAGCGAACGAGGGGAAUUGAAACAUCUUAGUACCCUCAGGAAAAGAAAUCAAUAGAGAUUGCGUCAGUAGCGGCGAGCGAAAGCGCAAGAGGGCAAACCCAGUGCUUGCACUGGGGGUUGUAGGACUGCAAUGUGCAAGAGCUGAGUUUAGCAGAACAUUCUGGAAAGUAUAGCCAUAGAGGGUGAUAGUCCCGUAUGCGAAAAACAAAGCUUAGCUAGCAGUAUCCUGAGUAGGGCGGGACACGAGGAAUCCUGUCUGAAUCCGGGUCGACCACGAUCCAACCCUAAAUACUAAUACCAGAUCGAUAGUGCACAAGUACCGUGAGGGAAAGGUGAAAAGAACUGAGGUGAUCAGAGUGAAAUAGAACCUGAAACCAUUUGCUUACAAUCAUUCAGAGCACUAUGUAGCAAUACAGUGUGAUGGACUGCCUUUUGCAUAAUGAGCCUGCGAGUUGUGGUGUCUGGCAAGGUUAAGCAAACGCGAAGCCGUAGCGAAAGCGAGUCUGAAUAGGGCGCUUAGUCAGAUGCUGCAGACCCGAAACGAAGUGAUCUAUCCAUGAGCAAGUUGAAGCUAGUGUAAGAACUAGUGGAGGACUGAACCCAUAGGCGUUGAAAAGCCCCGGGAUGACUUGUGGAUAGGGGUGAAAGGCCAAUCAAACUUCGUGAUAGCUGGUUCUCUCCGAAAUAUAUUUAGGUAUAGCGUUGUGUCGUAAUAUAAGGGGGUAGAGCACUGAAUGGGCUAGGGCAUACACCAAUGUACCAAACCCUAUCAAACUCCGAAUACCUUAUAUGUAAUCACAGCAGUCAGGCGGCGAGUGAUAAAAUCCGUCGUCGAGAGGGAAACAACCCAGACUACCAGCUAAGGUCCCUAAAUCUUACUUAAGUGGAAAACGAUGUGAAGUUACUUAAACAACCAGGAGGUUGGCUUAGAAGCAGCCAUCCUUUAAAGAAAGCGUAAUAGCUCACUGGUCUAGUGAUUUUGCGCGGAAAAUAUAACGGGGCUAAAGUAAGUACCGAAGCUGUAGACUUGCACACAACUUAGAUUAUUUAAGUUUAGAAUAUGAGAAACUAAGUUAUGUUUAGUUAUAUUUUUACUGAUUUUUAUAGAGUAAAGAUAGAAAUAAAACUUAGUAAAAUCAGUAAAAAUAUUCUUAGGCUAAAGUUAAGUAGUUUAAGUUGUGUGCAAGUGGUAGGAGAGCGUUCUAUUUGCGUCGAAGGUAUACCGGUAAGGAGUGCUGGAGCGAAUAGAAGUGAGCAUGCAGGCAUGAGUAGCGAUAAUUAAUGUGAGAAUCAUUAACGCCGUAAACCCAAGGUUUCCUACGCGAUGCUCGUCAUCGUAGGGUUAGUCGGGUCCUAAGUCGAGUCCGAAAGGGGUAGACGAUGGCAAAUUGGUUAAUAUUCCAAUACCAACAUUAGUGUGCGAUGGAAGGACGCUUAGGGCUAAGGGGGCUAGCGGAUGGAAGUGCUAGUCUAAGGUCGUAGGAGGUUAUACAGGCAAAUCCGUAUAACAAUACUCCGAGAACUGAAAGGCUUUUUGAAGUCUUCGGAUGGAUAGAAGAACCCCUGAUGCCGUCGAGCCAAGAAAAGUUUCUAAGUUUAGCUAAUGUUGCCCGUACCGUAAACCGACACAGGUGGGUGGGAUGAGUAUUCUAAGGCGCGUGGAAGAACUCUCUUUAAGGAACUCUGCAAAAUAGCACCGUAUCUUCGGUAUAAGGUGUGGUUAGCUUCGUACUAGGAUUUACUCCGAAAGCGAAGAAACUUACAACAAAGAGUCCCUCCCGACUGUUUACCAAAAACACAGCACUCUGCUAACUCGUAAGAGGAUGUAUAGGGUGUGACGCCUGCCCGGUGCUCGAAGGUUAAUUGAUGGGGUUAGCAUUAGCGAAGCUCUUGAUCGAAGCCCGAGUAAACGGCGGCCGUAACUAUAACGGUCCUAAGGUAGCGAAAUUCCUUGUCGGUUAAAUACCGACCUGCAUGAAUGGCGUAACGAGAUGGGAGCUGUCUCAAAGAGGGAUCCAGUGAAAUUGUAGUGGAGGUGAAAAUUCCUCCUACCCGCGGCAAGACGGAAAGACCCCGUGGACCUUUACUACAGCUUGACACUGCUACUUGGAUAAGAAUGUGCAGGAUAGGUGGGAGGCUUUGAGUAUAUGACGCCAGUUGUAUAUGAGCCAUUGUUGAGAUACCACUCUUUCUUAUUUGGGUAGCUAACCAGCUUGAGUUAUCCUCAAGUGGGACAAUGUCUGGUGGGUAGUUUGACUGGGGCGGUCGCCUCCCAAAUAAUAACGGAGGCUUACAAAGGUUGGCUCAGAACGGUUGGAAAUCGUUCGUAGAGUAUAAAGGUAUAAGCCAGCUUAACUGCAAGACAUACAAGUCAAGCAGAGACGAAAGUCGGUCUUAGUAGUAUAUGACGCCAGUUGUAUAUGAGCCAUUGUUGAGAUACCACUCUUUCUUAUUUGGGUAGCUAACCAGCUUGAGUUAUCCUCAAGUGGGACAAUGUCUGGUGGGUAGUUUGACUGGGGCGGUCGCCUCCCAAAUAAUAACGGAGGCUUACAAAGGUUGGCUCAGAACGGUUGGAAAUCGUUCGUAGAGUAUAAAGGUAUAAGCCAGCUUAACUGCAAGACAUACAAGUCAAGCAGAGACGAAAGUCGGUCUUAGUGAUCCGGUGGUUCUGUGUGGAAGGGCCAUCGCUCAAAGGAUAAAAGGUACCCCGGGGAUAACAGGCUGAUCUCCCCCAAGAGCUCACAUCGACGGGGAGGUUUGGCACCUCGAUGUCGGCUCAUCGCAUCCUGGGGCUGGAGCAGGUCCCAAGGGUAUGGCUGUUCGCCAUUUAAAGCGGUACGCGAGCUGGGUUCAGAACGUCGUGAGACAGUUCGGUCCCUAUCUGCCGUGGGCGUAAGAAGAUUGAAGAGAUUUGACCCUAGUACGAGAGGACCGGGUUGAACAAACCACUGGUGUAGCUGUUGUUCUGCCAAGAGCAUCGCAGCGUAGCUAAGUUUGGAAAGGAUAAACGCUGAAAGCAUCUAAGCGUGAAGCCAACUCUAAGAUGAAUCUUCUCUAAGCUCUCUAGAAGACUACUAGUUUGAUAGGCUGGGUGUGUAAUGGAUGAAAGUCCUUUAGCUGACCAGUACUAAUAGAGCGUUUGGCUUAUCUUU
Molecule: ribosomal RNA, 3309 nt
Filed under: Campylobacter jejuni
Lineage: Bacteria; Pseudomonadati; Campylobacterota; Epsilonproteobacteria; Campylobacterales; Campylobacteraceae
Also listed under: 1 other name
Description: bacterial LSU rRNA
Rfam family: Bacterial large subunit ribosomal RNA
Source: RNAcentral